GGUUAAGCGACUAAGCGUACACGGUGGAUGCCCUGGCAGUCAGAGGCGAUGAAGGACGUGCUAAUCUGCGAAAAGCGUCGGUAAGGUGAUAUGAACCGUUAUAACCGGCGAUGUCCGAAUGGGGAAACCCAGUGCAAUUCGUUGCACUAUCGUUAACUGAAUACAUAGGUUAACGAGGCGAACCGGGGGAACUGAAACAUCUAAGUACCCCGAGGAAAAGAAAUCAACCGAGAUUCCCCCAGUAGCGGCGAGCGAACGGGGAGCAGCCCAGAGUCUGAAUCAGCUUGUGUGUUAGUGGAACGGUCUGGAAAGUCCGACGGUACAGGGUGAUAGUCCCGUACACCAAAAUGCACAGGCUGUGAACUCGAAGAGUAGGGCGGGACACGUGGUAUCCUGUCUGAAUAUGGGGGGGACCAUCCUCCAAGGCUAAAUACUCCUGACUGACCGAUAGUGAACCAGUACCGUGAGGGAAAGGCGAAAAGAACCCCGGCGAGGGGAGUGAAAAAGAACCUGAAACCGUGUACGUACAAGCAGUGGGAGCACCUUCGGGUGUGACUGCGUACCUUUUGUAUAAUGGGUCAGCGACUUAUAUUCUGUAGCAAGGUUAACCGUAUAGGGGAGCCGCAGGGAAACCGAGUCUUAACUGGGCGUUAAGUUGCAGGGUAUAGACCCGAAACCCGGUGAUCUAGCCAUGGGCAGGUUGAAGGUUGGGUAACACUAACUGGAGGACCGAACCGACUAAUGUUGAAAAAUUAGCGGAUGACUUGUGGCUGGGGGUGAAAGGCCAAUCAAACCGGGAGAUAGCUGGUUCUCCCCGAAAGCUAUUUAGGUAGCGCCUCGUGAACUCAUCUUCGGGGGUAGAGCACUGUUUCGGCUAGGGGGUCAUCCCGACUUACCAACCCGAUGCAAACUACGAAUACCGAAGAAUGUUAUCACGGGAGACACACGGCGGGUGCUAACGUCCGUCGUGAAGAGGGAAACAACCCAGACCGCCAGCUAAGGUCCCAAAGUCAUGGUUAAGUGGGAAACGAUGUGGGAAGGCACAGACAGCCAGGAUGUUGGCUUAGAAGCAGCCAUCAUUUAAAGAAAGCGUAAUAGCUCACUGGUCGAGUCGGCCUGCGCGGAAGAUGUAACGGGGCUAAACCAUGCACCGAAGCUGCGGCAGCGACACUAUGUGUUGUUGGGUAGGGGAGCGUUCUGUAAGCCUGCGAAGGUGUGCUGUGAGGCAUGCUGGAGGUAUCAGAAGUGCGAAUGCUGACAUAAGUAACGAUAAAGCGGGUGAAAAGCCCGCUCGCCGGAAGACCAAGGGUUCCUGUCCAACGUUAAUCGGGGCAGGGUGAGUCGACCCCUAAGGCGAGGCCGAAAGGCGUAGUCGAUGGGAAACAGGUUAAUAUUCCUGUACUUGGUGUUACUGCGAAGGGGGGACGGAGAAGGCUAUGUUAGCCGGGCGACGGUUGUCCCGGUUUAAGCAUGUAGGCUGGUUGUCCAGGCAAAUCCGGAUAAUCAAGGCUGAGGUGUGAUGACGAGGCACUACGGUGCUGAAGUAACAAAUGCCCUGCUUCCAGGAAAAGCCUCUAAGCAUCAGGUAACAUCAAAUCGUACCCCAAACCGACACAGGUGGUCAGGUAGAGAAUACCAAGGCGCUUGAGAGAACUCGGGUGAAGGAACUAGGCAAAAUGGUGCCGUAACUUCGGGAGAAGGCACGCUGGUGUGUAGGUGAAGCCCCUGCGGGUGGAGCUGAGACCAGUCGAAGAUACCAGCUGGCUGCAACUGUUUAUUAAAAACACAGCACUGUGCAAACACGAAAGUGGACGUAUACGGUGUGACGCCUGCCCGGUGCCGGAAGGUUAAUUGAUGGGGUUAUCCGUAAGGAGAAGCUCUUGAUCGAAGCCCCGGUAAACGGCGGCCGUAACUAUAACGGUCCUAAGGUAGCGAAAUUCCUUGUCGGGUAAGUUCCGACCUGCACGAAUGGCGUAAUGAUGGCCAGGCUGUCUCCACCCGAGACUCAGUGAAAUUGAACUCGCUGUGAAGAUGCAGUGUACCCGCGGCAAGACGGAAAGACCCCGUGAACCUUUACUAUAGCUUGACACUGAACAUUGAGCCUUGAUGUGUAGGAUAGGUGGGAGGCUUUGAAGCGUGGACGCCAGUCUGCGUGGAGCCAACCUUGAAAUACCACCCUUUAAUGUUUGAUGUUCUAACGUUGGCCCCUUACCGGGGUUGCGGACAGUGUCUGGUGGGUAGUUUGACUGGGGCGGUCUCCUCCCAAAGCGUAACGGAGGAGCACGAAGGUUAGCUAAUCCUGGUCGGACAUCAGGAGGUUAGUGCAAUGGCAUAAGCUAGCUUGACUGCGAGCGUGACGGCGCGAGCAGGUGCGAAAGCAGGUCAUAGUGAUCCGGUGGUUCUGAAUGGAAGGGCCAUCGCUCAACGGAUAAAAGGUACUCCGGGGAUAACAGGCUGAUACCGCCCAAGAGUUCAUAUCGACGGCGGUGUUUGGCACCUCGAUGUCGGCUCAUCACAUCCUGGGGCUGAAGUAGGUCCCAAGGGUAUGGCUGUUCGCCAUUUAAAGUGGUACGCGAGCUGGGUUUAGAACGUCGUGAGACAGUUCGGUCCCUAUCUGCCGUGGGCGCUGGAGAAUUGAGGGGGGCUGCUCCUAGUACGAGAGGACCGGAGUGGACGCAUCACUGGUGUUCGGGUUGUCAUGCCAAUGGCACUGCCCGGUAGCUAAAUGCGGAAGAGAUAAGUGCUGAAAGCAUCUAAGCACGAAACUUGCCCCGAGAUGAGUUCUCCCUGAGACUUUAAGUCUCCUGAAGGAACGUUGAAGACGACGACGUUGAUAGGCCGGGUGUGUAAGCGCAGCGAUGCGUUGAGCUAACCGGUACUAAUGAACCGUGAGGCUUAACCUU
Molecule: ribosomal RNA, 2903 nt
Filed under: Klebsiella pneumoniae
Lineage: Bacteria; Pseudomonadati; Pseudomonadota; Gammaproteobacteria; Enterobacterales; Enterobacteriaceae
Description: 23S ribosomal RNA
Rfam family: Bacterial large subunit ribosomal RNA
Source: RNAcentral